AGAGUUUGAUCAUGGCUCAGGAUGAACGCUGGCGGCGUGCCUAACACAUGCAAGUCGAACGAAGCGCCUGAUCAGAUUUCUUCGGAAUGAAGAUUUAGCGACUGAGUGGCGGACGGGUGAGUAACGCGUGGGCAACCUGCCUCAUACAGGGGGAUAACAGCCGGAAACGGCUGCUAAUACCGCAUAAGCGCACAGGACCGCAUGGUCCGGUGUGAAAAACUCCGGUGGUAUGAGAUGGGCCCGCGUCUGAUUAGCCAGUUGGCGGGGCAGCGGCCCACCAAAGCGACGAUCAGUAGCCGACCUGAGAGGGUGACCGGCCACAUUGGGACUGAGACACGGCCCAAACUCCUACGGGAGGCAGCAGUGGGGAAUAUUGCACAAUGGGGGAAACCCUGAUGCAGCGACGCCGCGUGAGCGAAGAAGUAUUUCGGUAUGUAAAGCUCUAUCAGCAGGGAAGAAGAAAGUGACGGUACCUGACUAAGAAGCACCGGCUAAAUACGUGCCAGCAGCCGCGGUAAUACGUAUGGUGCAAGCGUUAUCCGGAUUUACUGGGUGUAAAGGGAGCGCAGGCGGUACGGCAAGUCUGAUGUGAAAGCCCGGGGCUCAACCCCGGUACUGCAUUGGAAACUGUUGGACUAGAGUGUCGGGGGGGUAAGCGGAAUUCCUAGUGUAGCGGUGAAAUGCGUAGAUAUUAGGAGGAACACCAGUGGCGAAGGCGGCUUACUGGACGACAACUGACGCUGAGGCUCGAAAGCGUGGGGAGCAAACAGGAUUAGAUACCCUGGUAGUCCACGCCGUAA
RNAcentral lists this ribosomal RNA (800 nucleotides) under uncultured bacterium. RNAcentral describes it as "bacterial SSU rRNA". It matches the Rfam family "Bacterial small subunit ribosomal RNA", at positions 8 to 805 of the family's 1533-position model. The record is from RNAcentral.